ACUACGGGCGGCAGCAGUGGGGGAUAUUGGACAAUGGGGGAAACCCUGAUCCAGCGACGCCGCGUGAGUGAAGAAGUAUUUCGGUAUGUAAAGCUCUAUCAGCAGGGAAGAAAGAAAUGACGGUACCUGAGUAAGAAGCCCCGGCUAACUACGUGCCAGCAGCCGCGGUAAUACGUAGGGGGCAAGCGUUAUCCGGAAUUACUGGGGGUAAAGGGAGCGUAGACGGUAAUGCAAGUCUGGAGUGAAAGGCGGGGGCCCAACCCCCGGACUGCUCUGGAAACUGUGUAACUGGAGUGCAGGGGAGGCAGGCGGAAUUCCUAGUGUAGCGGUGAAAUGCGUAGAUAUUAGGAGGAACACCAGUGGCGAAGGCGGCCUGCUGGACUGUAACUGACGUUGAGGCUCGAAAGCGUGGGGAGCAAACAGGAUUAGAUACCCCUGUAGUC
This 443-nucleotide ribosomal RNA is filed under the name uncultured bacterium. RNAcentral's name for it is "partial 16S ribosomal RNA". It matches the Rfam family "Bacterial small subunit ribosomal RNA", at positions 338 to 795 of the family's 1533-position model. The record is from RNAcentral.